This 253-nucleotide ribosomal RNA is filed under the name uncultured bacterium. RNAcentral describes it as "partial 16S ribosomal RNA". It matches the Rfam family "Bacterial small subunit ribosomal RNA", at positions 524 to 776 of the family's 1533-position model. The record is from RNAcentral.
UACGUAGGGUGCAAGCGUUAAUCGGAAUUACUGGGCGUAGAGCGUACGCAGGCGGCUUUGCAAGACAGGUGUGAAAUCCCCGGGCCUAACCUGGGAACUGCAUUUGUGACUGCAUGGCUAGAGUUUGUCAGAGGGGGGUGGAAUUCCACGUGUAGCAGUGAAAUGCGUAGAUAUGUGGAGGAACACCGAUGGCGAAGGCAGCCCCCUGGGAUGUGACUGACGCUCAUGUACGAAAGCGUGGGGAGCAAACAGG